AAGAGAGAGACAUGCGCGCAUAUCAAUAAGCGGAGGAAAAGAAACUAACUAGGAUUCCCUCAGUAACGGCGAGUGAAGCGGGAAGAGCUCAAAUUUGAAAUCUUCAAGGUUCUACCUUGACGAAUUGUAGUUUAAAGAAGUGUUUUCUGUUGGAGUUUUGGUAAAAGUUCUUUGGAAUAGGACAUCAUAGAGGGUGAGAAUCCCGUAUUUGACCAUUAUUUCAGCUGUGUGAUACACUUUCAAAGAGUCGGAUUGUUUGGGAAUGCAGUCCAAAAUGAGUGGUAAAUUUCAUCUAAAGCUAAAUAUUGGCGAGAGACCGAUAGCGAACAAGUACCGUGAGGGAAAGAUGAAAAGAACUUUGAAAAGAGAGUUAAACAGUACGUGAAAUUGUCAAAAGGGAAGCGUUUGACACCAGUGUUGUUUUUCUGAAAAUCAAUUAAAGAACUGUUUAUGCUAAGUUGUUUAGACUUUAUCAGCUAACUGUUUAGUUUUGAGCUUUUCUUUAAUGCACUUUUCAGUUAACAAGUCAACAUCAAUUUCUUUUGCUGUAAAAAAGCUUGAGGAAGGUGGCUUGAGAUUCGUCUUAAGUGUUUAUAGCCUCUUGCCUAUGCAGUCGGAGAGAUUGAGGUCUGCAGCGUAGAUCCUUCGGGGCUAAAUGCAUUUGUGCUAAGUUAUAGCAUUUUAUAGACAACUUGUUGACUAUGAUUUGUCUUGUAGCUUACUCGCUUAUGUUAUUUUACCUACGCUUAGGAUGUUGAUGUGAUACUGCGAGCA
RNAcentral lists this ribosomal RNA (774 nucleotides) under uncultured Neocallimastigales. RNAcentral's name for it is "partial large subunit ribosomal RNA". It matches the Rfam family "Eukaryotic large subunit ribosomal RNA", at positions 23 to 646 of the family's 3401-position model. The record is from RNAcentral. Lineage: Eukaryota; Fungi; Neocallimastigomycota; Neocallimastigomycetes; Neocallimastigales.